AUGCACGCUGGCGGUAUGCUUCACACAUGCAAGUCGCACGGACUCUUCGGAGUUAGUGGCGGACGGGUGAGUAACGCGUGAGAAUCUGGCUUUGGGUUCGGGACAACCACUGGAAACGGUGGCUAAUACCGGAUGUGCCGAGAGGUAAAAGAGAAAUUGCCUGAAGAUGAGCUCGCGUCUGAUUAGCUAGUUGGUGAGGUAAAGGCUCACCAAGGCAGCGAUCAGUAGCUGGUCUGAGAGGAUGACCAGCCACACUGGGACUGAGACACGGCCCAGACUCCUACGGGAGGCAGCAGUGGGGAAUUUUCCGCAAUGGGCGAAAGCCUGACGGAGCAAUACCGCGUGAGGGAAGAAGGCUCUUGGGUUGUAAACCUCUUUUCUUAGGGAAGAACAAAAUGACGGUACCUAAGGAAUCAGCAUCGGCUAACUCCGUG
RNAcentral lists this ribosomal RNA (434 nucleotides) under uncultured bacterium. RNAcentral describes it as "partial 16S ribosomal RNA". It matches the Rfam family "Bacterial small subunit ribosomal RNA", at positions 29 to 507 of the family's 1533-position model. The record is from RNAcentral.